GACGAACGCUGGCGGCGUGCCUAAUACAUGCAAGUAGGACGCACAGUCUAUACCGUAGCUUGCUACACCAUAGGCUGUGAGUUGCGAACGGGUGAGUAACGCGUAGGUAACCUGCCUAUUAGAGGGGGAUAACUAUUGGAAACGAUAGCUAAUACCGCAUAACAGUAUGUAACACAUGUUAGAUGCUUGAAAGAUGCAAUUGCAUCGCUAGUAGAUGGACCUGCGUUGUAUUAGCUAGUAGGUAGGGUAAUGGCCUACCUAGGCGACGAUACAUAGCCGACCUGGGAAGGUGAUCGGCCACACUGGGACUGGGACACGGCCCAGACUCCUACGGGAGGCAGCAGUAGGGAAUCUUCGGCAAUGGGGGGAACCCUGACCGAGCAACGCCGCGUGAGUGAAGGAGGGUUUCGGAUCGGAAAGCUCUGUUGUUAAGGAAGAACGAGUGUGAGAAUGGAAAGUUCAUACUGUGACGGUACUUAACCAGAAAGGGACGGCUAACUACGUG
This 505-nucleotide ribosomal RNA is filed under the name uncultured bacterium. RNAcentral describes it as "partial 16S ribosomal RNA". It matches the Rfam family "Bacterial small subunit ribosomal RNA", at positions 28 to 507 of the family's 1533-position model. The record is from RNAcentral.